This 274-nucleotide ribosomal RNA is filed under the name uncultured bacterium. Its description in RNAcentral is "partial 16S ribosomal RNA". It matches the Rfam family "Bacterial small subunit ribosomal RNA", at positions 523 to 796 of the family's 1533-position model. The record is from RNAcentral.
AUACGGAGGGUGCAAGCGUUAUCCGGAAUCAUUGGGUUUAAAGGGUCCGUAGGCGGGCUAAUAAGUCAGGGGUGAAGUCCCACAGCUUAACUGUGGAACUGCCCUUGAUACCGUUGGUCUUGAGUUACAGUGAAGUGGUUAGAAUGUGUAGUGUAGCGGUGAAAUGCAUAGAGAUUACACAGAAUACCGAUUGCGAAGGCAGAUCACUAACUGUAUACUGACGCUAAUGGACGAAAGCGUGGGGAGCGAACAGGAUUAGAUACCCCAGUAGUCC